UUUGGGACUUUGGGACUACUGGGGUUCCCUCAUCGUUUUGCUAUUACUGGAUCUAGGUAGAUGACAGGAUUAAGGCUCAGAUAAAUCUUUAUCGGCUGUAAUGAGAUUUCAAAAUAAAAAAUGAAAAAGGAUUUUCAGACGAAUAGUCCAGAGCCCUUUGGUACAAUGUACAAACUAUGUCAAAAUCAGUUCCUAAGAUGUCGAGGUUAUUUUAAAAGCCUUCAGAGCCUGUGUGCAUGAAACACUUUCCCGGUGGCCCCGGCUGCGGCGGAGCCUCCCCUUAACCCGAGUGUUUCCAGCGCCGCGCCACGGCGGGGCCCGGGACCCCGGGACAGGAGCGGUGGGGCCGGGCGCGGGGGGACCGCGGCCACCACGAGCCCCGUCACCUUACCGCGGCCACCGAGGGCUGCCCGCGGUCGCCACCAACUUCUCAGCGGCGGCAGCAGCAGCAGCGCAAGUUGGCAGCCGCCGGCUGCUCGCCUCGGGCAAGAGCGGGAGGGCGGCCCAAGCUCCUCUGCUGGCGAAGCCAAAAAAAAAAAAAAAAAAAAAAAAAAAGGAAAGAAAGAAAAGGGAAGGAAGGCAGAGGAACGACAGAACGGCAGACAGACGGCGGCCGGCUCCAGGAUGGGUACCUCAAGUAUUGUGGCACCCAUCUAAUGUGUACACAUGCUCUUUGCUGAAGAAGGAGGAAGAAUCCAAUCCCAGAUGUUGCAAAGAAAUGUGGUCUGUGGAACAAGAAAUGAGGCAAGAUGGGGUCAGGGACAGUACUGGACCUUCAUAGUGACAGUCCACAAAAAGCUUCAUUUUGCUUAUGGCUAACAGUGAGCUUUACACUUUACUAUCUUUAUUCACUUUAGAGAGAAGCUGUUUCUUUUGUUUGGCUGGAUUUUUUCAUCAGCUGUAUUAUGAGCCUGAACAGUUACAUAUCCAGGCAAAUUUAGACGGAUUUCUUUUCAUCUUUAGUCACCUUACCUUAGUAGCCAUUGGAAUGGCAUUUGGAGGAAAAAGAAUUUGGAUGACAUAUGUCUUCAGACACUGGUGUAGGAGCUGUACAUCAGCAGCAGUAUCCAUACCUAAUAAUACAAAAUAAAUGCUAAUUACAGAUAACCUGAAAAGGCCUUUAUAUGCAUAGGUAAGCAUUUCAUCUAUAAAAAUAAGAGCAUUCUGGAUAUCAAUUACGUAUCUCAUAGUCUAACUUUAAUUUCUGUACAGACUUUGUACAAGAUAGCUUGGUUGGCAUAUAGUAG
RNAcentral lists this long non-coding RNA (1247 nucleotides) under Cairina moschata (Muscovy duck). RNAcentral's name for it is "domestica (muscovy Duck (domestic type)) lncRNA (ENSCMMG00000002607.1)". The record is from RNAcentral. Lineage: Eukaryota; Metazoa; Chordata; Aves; Anseriformes; Anatidae.